This 1275-nucleotide long non-coding RNA is filed under the name Phoenix dactylifera (date palm). RNAcentral describes it as "long non-coding RNA (PDAC_LNC014487)". The record is from RNAcentral. Lineage: Eukaryota; Viridiplantae; Streptophyta; Magnoliopsida; Arecales; Arecaceae.
GUUUGAUUUUCUGCCUUUCAGUCUGCUUUCCUCUGAGAGUCGACUCUUGCUUGUUUAGGAGUCGACUCGCCAAACGUUGGAGUCGACUCGGUAACAGGGUCCAGAAAACACUUCUCUAUUCUUCUGUCUGUUACUCAUUGGAGUCGACUUGGAACCGUCGGAAGUCGACUCGGUAAGCAUCGGAGUCGACUCAAAACCGUUGGAGUCGACUCGGUGAUAGGGUCUGAAAUUUAUCUUUCUGUCCUUCUGUCUGUUCUCAGUCGAAGUCGACUCGUAGUGUACCGAAGUCGACUCGAGCUCGUGCCAGAACCUCUGAAACACUUAGAGUUGACUCGUACUCUUCCGGAGUCGACUCGAGCUUCAGACUUUGGCUUAAAUUAGUUCAAUACUUAGCCAAAUGACUUUGAACAAAGGCUCGAUGCUAUUAAAGAUAAAUUCACAUAUAUUUGCCUGAAACACUAGAUUGAAUUCAUUAGUACAACUUGAAAUAUACUCAAAUGCUUUGAGCUCAUCAAAAUCAAAUAGGGGUAUAACCAAUUACUCCACAGAUUGAUUCUGUACUCUUAGAAGAAAACUGGGAGUAAUUGACCCCUUUCAAUAAUCAUGCUUUCACUUCCCUCAAUUCAUUCCUUCAUGAUCUGACUUCCAAUCAAAUUGCGCCUUCAUGAUUAUUCUCCAAAGGUAAAAGUCAAUCAAACCAAUUCUAAAACCUUUUGGACUAACCAUUACAAAUGGUUUGAAGAAAAAUAGAUCUCGAGCCGACUCGAGAAGAAUCCGAGUCGACCUACGUGCGAGUCGUCUCUAGCUAUUGCGUGAGACGUCUCCAGGUCGAACUCACAGUGCCCUAUCUUUGCCAAGUUGUCUCAAACUCUAGCGAGAGACGUCUCGAAGGAAAGAUGACAUUGUCGAGUCGUCUCGACCCUUGCGCAAGACGUCUCGAGUUCGAAUCGACGUCUUUUUUAUGUACCCGAGCCGUCUCUUCAUUCAUUUUUUCUGAGCCUUCAACUUGAGUUCCUCUCUGUCCCCGAGCUUAGGAUCAUCUUGUGUUCUCAAAACCCUAGGUUCUCCUCCAAGUCUAACCUAGAUUAGGUCUCCAUGGCUCCCAAGAAAUCCUCCAGCUCACGUGGAAAAUGUCCUAUCGUGGCAAACGAGUUAGAACGACGGUCAAAAGCGAGGAAUGAGCCAAACCCUUCCGGAUCCGUGGCUCCUUCCUCUCCUAGACCAGAGAUCCUUCGCUCGUGCGACACGAGGGCGGUCUCGACUGGUAGAAAGGUC